CUUUCAACAACGGAUCUCUUGGUUCUGGCAUCGAUGAAGAACGCAGCGAAAUGCGAUAAGUAAUGUGAAUUGCAGAAUUCAGUGAAUCAUCGAAUCUUUGAACGCACAUUGCGCCCCUCGGUAUUCCGGGGGGCAUAUCUAUUCGAGCGUC
RNAcentral lists this ribosomal RNA (151 nucleotides) under Lecidea floridensis. RNAcentral describes it as "5.8S ribosomal RNA". It matches the Rfam family "5.8S ribosomal RNA". From Rfam's summary of the family: 5.8S ribosomal RNA (5.8S rRNA) is a component of the large subunit of the eukaryotic ribosome. The record is from RNAcentral. Lineage: Eukaryota; Fungi; Ascomycota; Lecanoromycetes; Lecideales; Lecideaceae.